RNAcentral lists this ribosomal RNA (866 nucleotides) under uncultured archaeon. RNAcentral describes it as "bacterial SSU rRNA". It matches the Rfam family "Archaeal small subunit ribosomal RNA", at positions 454 to 1318 of the family's 1478-position model. The record is from RNAcentral.
UGUGCCAGCAGCCGCGGUAAAACCAGCACCUCAAGUGGUCAGGAUGAUUAUUGGGCCUAAAGCAUCCGUAGCUCGUUUUGUAAGUUUUCGGUUAAAUCCAUACACUUAACGUAUGGGCUGCCGGGAAUACUGCAUAACUAGGAAGUGGGAGAGGUAGACGGUACUCGGUAGGAAGGGGUAAAAUCCUUUGAUCUAUUGAUGACCACCUGUGGCGAAGGCGGUCUACCAGAACACGUUCGACGGUGAGGGAUGAAAGCUGGGGGAGCAAACCGGAUUAGAUACCCGGGUAGUCCCAGCUGUAAACUAUGCAAACUCAGUGAUGCAUUGGCUUGUGGCCAAUGCAGUGCUGCAGGGAAGCCGUUAAGUUUGCCGCCUGGGAAGUACGUACGCAAGUAUGAAACUUAAAGGAAUUGGCGGGGGAGCACCACAAGGGGUGAAGCCUGCGGUUCAAUUGGAGUCAACGCCAGAAAUCUUACCCGGAGAGACAGCAGAAUGAAGGUCAAGCUGAAGACUUUACCAGACAAGCUGAGAGGUGGUGCAUGGCCGUCGCCAGUUCGUGCCGUGAGAUGUCCUGUUAAGUCAGGUAACGAGUGAGAUCCCUGCCUCUAGUUGCCACCAUUACUCUCAGGAGUAGUGGGGCGAAUUAGCGGGACCGCCGCAGUUAAUGCGGAGGAAGGAAGGGGCCACGGCAGGUCAGUAUGCCCCGAAACUCUGGGGGCCACACGCGGGCUGCAAUGGUAGUGACAAUUGGUUCCGAAUCCGAAAGGAGGGGGUAAUCCCUAAACGCUACCACAGUUAUGACUGAGGGCUGCAACUCGCCCUCACGAAUAUGGAAUCCCUAGUAACUGCGUGUCAUUAUCGCGCGG